UACGUAGGGUGCGAGCGUUGUCCGGAAUCAUUGGGCGUAAAGAGCGUGUAGGCGGCCUUUUAAGUCCUGCGUGAAAUCCUGCGGCUCAACCGCAGACGGUCGUGGGAAACUGGAAGGCUAGAGUGCGGGAGAGGAGAGUGGAAUUCCCGGUGUAGCGGUGAAAUGCGCAGAUAUCGGGAAGAACACCCGUGGCGAAGGCGGCUCUCUGGAACGCAACUGACGCUGAGACGCGAAAGCGUGGGGAGCAAACGGG
This 253-nucleotide ribosomal RNA is filed under the name uncultured bacterium. Its description in RNAcentral is "partial 16S ribosomal RNA". It matches the Rfam family "Bacterial small subunit ribosomal RNA", at positions 524 to 776 of the family's 1533-position model. The record is from RNAcentral.